Long non-coding RNA from Sebastes umbrosus (honeycomb rockfish), 94 nucleotides. RefSeq lists it as uncharacterized. The record is from RefSeq and is a predicted model, not a curated record. The transcript is spliced from 3 exons. Lineage: Eukaryota; Metazoa; Chordata; Actinopteri; Perciformes; Sebastidae.
UAACGCCAGCUCAUUGUUUGCCUCGCUCAGAGGCCAUCCUUACCAUAAUAACACUACUGUAGGAGCAACGAAAGCCAGACGGCGACUGGCGGUA